AGCGAACGUUGGCGGCGCGCCUAACACAUGCAAGUCGAACGCGAAAAGCCUUCGGGCUGAGUAGAGUGGCGCACGGGUGAGUAACACGUGAGUAAUCUGCCCUUUGGACUGGGAUAACAUGCCGAAAGGCGUGCUAAUACCGGAUAAGACCACGAUUCCUGCGGGAGUUGUGAGAAAAGACGGGGAUCCGCAAGGACCUGUCACCAUAGGAUGAGCUCGCGGCCUAUCAGCUAGUUGGCGGGGUAACGGCCCACCAAGGCUAAGACGGGUAGCUGGUCUGAGAGGAUGAUCAGCCACACUGGAACUGAGACACGGUCCAGACUCCUACGGGAGGCAGCAGUGGGGAAUUUUGCGCAAUGGACGAAAGUCUGACGCAGCGACGCCGCGUGUGCGAUGAAGGCCUUUGGGUCGUUAAGCACUGUCGACCGGGACGAAAACUCCACGGACUAAUACUUCGUGAGUCUGACGGUACUGGUAAA
RNAcentral lists this ribosomal RNA (479 nucleotides) under uncultured bacterium. RNAcentral's name for it is "bacterial SSU rRNA". It matches the Rfam family "Bacterial small subunit ribosomal RNA", at positions 29 to 485 of the family's 1533-position model. The record is from RNAcentral.